Molecule: unclassified non-coding RNA, 283 nt
Filed under: Hevea brasiliensis (rubber tree)
Lineage: Eukaryota; Viridiplantae; Streptophyta; Magnoliopsida; Malpighiales; Euphorbiaceae
Source: RNAcentral
AAAUUCUUAUUUUCUAUAUUUUUGCCUAAAGUAGGUACUCCUAAAAUCUUUAGAAAUAUAUUCUGCAUCAAUAAGAGUCCCCCUAGUUGAGAACAAUAUACAUAAAUAAUAGGAAGCUGAAAUUUUGCGACAUCAAAAUGAUUUCCACACGAAUCUCCACAAACUCUGCCUAGGUAUCACUUAUGUUUUAACUAAAAUAGUAUCAGUGUAUCACUCUACUAUGAGUCCACAUACUUGUCCACUCUCAUCCCAUUGUGAAGUGUAGAAAGAGAUGAUUCUUAUU